Molecule: ribosomal RNA, 423 nt
Filed under: uncultured archaeon
Lineage: Archaea
Description: partial 16S ribosomal RNA
Rfam family: Archaeal small subunit ribosomal RNA
Source: RNAcentral
CUACGGGAUGCUCCAGUCGCGAAACCUUUACAAUGCACGCAAGUGUGAUAAGGGAAUUCUGAGUGCUUACGCAUUAGUGUAGGCUUUUUGCAAGGGUAAAAACCUUGCAGAAUAAGUGGUGGGCAAGACUGGUGCCAGCCGCCGCGGUAACACCAGCGCCACAAGUGGGAACCAUUAUUAUUGGGUCUAAAGCAUCCGUAGCCGGUCCAGCAAAUGCCCUGUGAAAUCAUUGCGCUCAACGCAAUGGCGUGCAGGGUAGACUACUGGACUUGGGACCAGGGGAGGUAGACGGUAUUCCAGGGGGAGCGGUAAAAUGUGAUAAUCCCUGGAGGACCACCGAUGGCGAAGGCAGUCUACCACAAUGGAUCCGACGGUGAGGGAUUAAAGCUAGGGGAGUGAUCCGGAUUAGAUACCCGGGUAGUC